Long non-coding RNA from Bactrocera neohumeralis, 1140 nucleotides. RefSeq lists it as uncharacterized. Lineage: Eukaryota; Metazoa; Arthropoda; Insecta; Diptera; Tephritidae. The transcript is spliced from 2 exons. The record is from RefSeq and is a predicted model, not a curated record.
CGCAAAGCAAUAACUUGUUUUCAAACUAAUGGCAAGAGAUAAAUAAAUAGAGUACAAUACAAAUGUGACGGUUUUUAUUUACUUUAUACAAAGAGAGCUUUCCGUUGCGCAUGUACGGCCAUAUUGGAGCGCCACUGAGCUUUUAUGAAACCAACAAAGCUAAAACAGCAAGCACAAUGAGUUGUGUUGAGUAGCAAAGAGUGCGUCCGAAAGUGGCUGACGGCUAUUAUUGAUGGUGAGAACUUACUGCUAGGUGAGCGCGUAGGUGAGCUCUUAAAGAGUUGUCGGCGCACUUGUUGAAAGCGACUACAAAAAUAGCAACAAUAUGAAAUAUAUGAGUGCAGUUGGCGGCAUAAAGUGUUCAAAGGCAAAUGGCAACACUAAUUUAGUAGCAGAGUUUUUGUUGUUUGCUUUUGUAGUUGUUAUUUGCUUGUUAUUGUAUCAUAAAUGUUUUUUCUCAAUUAUUUUUUGUCGUUUGUUAUACAAAACUCAACCGCUGCCGAAGAUGUUUUUGUCGUAGUCAUCGGCGUCGUCGUCGUCGUAGUCGUAGUCAUCGUAAUCGUUGCCGUUGGUGUGUGGCAUGCGACGAUGACUAUGGGAGAAUCCGCUGCUGCCGCCGCAGCCGCUCGACACACUAUCGCAUGGGAAGUAUACAAUGCCGCCGCCGCUGCCACCACUACCACUACUACUACUACCAACACAGCAUUGUGGCGAAUGUUUAUAGAUUUUCAGUCGAAUUUUGUUAUUUCACGUACAAAGUGGCGCGCGCGGGCCGCCGCUCUAGCAAAUCAUAUGAAAUCGUGACGUUAUAUAGAAUAAUUUGUGUCGAAAAUUGUAACAACAACAAGAAUAAAAACAACAAAACAUAUUAACACAUAUAAUUUACUUGGUGAAAGGUGUAAAAUGCAUGGUUCGGUGCAAGUGGCAAAAGUGAGAAAAAGGUGAUGUUCUAUGAAAGCGGUAAUAAAUUCGUAAUUUGUAUGCCAUACUCAGUAAAACAAAACAAAUGUAAAUAAUAUUAAAUAAACACGCAAUAAACGGCAUUUGUAAAAAUAAAACGGAAAAAAUUACAGCGCAGCCGUGCGUGAAAAAACAACGCAAACAAUUAAUUGUAACAGCAACAGCAAAAAGGUGAAAUAA